CUACGGCGGCUCCAGUUGGGAAUAUUGGACAAUGGGGGCAACCCUGAUCCAGCAAUGCCACGUGUGUGAAGAAGGCCUUAGGGUUGUAAAGCACUUUCAGCGGGGAGGAAGGCUCGUUAAUUAAUACUUAACGGGAUUGACGUUACCUGCAGAAGAAGCACCGGCUAACUCCGUGCCAGCAGCCGCGGUAAUACGGAGGGUGCAAGCGUUAAUCGGAAUUACUGGGCGUAAAGGACGCGUAGGCGGAUGAUUAAGUUGGAUGUGAAAUCCCAGGGCUUAACCUUGGAACUGCAUCCGAAACUGGUGAUCUAGAGUAUGGUAGAGGAAAGUGGAAUUUCAGGUGUAGCGGUGAAAUGCGUAGAUAUCUGAAGGAACACCAGUGGCGAAGGCGACUUUCUGGAUCAAUACUGACGCUGAGGCGCGAAAGCAUGGGUAGCGAACAGGAUUAGAUACCCCAGUAGUC
Molecule: ribosomal RNA, 463 nt
Filed under: uncultured bacterium
Lineage: Bacteria
Description: partial 16S ribosomal RNA
Rfam family: Bacterial small subunit ribosomal RNA
Source: RNAcentral